GUCUAAGUAUAAGCAAUUAUACCGUGAAACUGCGAAUGGCUCAUUAAAUCAGUUAUCGUUUAUUUGAUAGUACCUUACUACUUGGAUAACCGUGGUAAUUCUAGAGCUAAUACAUGCUUAAAACCCCAACUUCGGGAGGGGUGUAUUUAUUAGAUAAAAAACCAACGCCCUUCGGGGCUUCUUGGUGAUUCAUGAUAACUUUACGGAUCGCAUGGCCUUGCGCCGGCGACGGUUCAUUCAAAUUUCUGCCCUAUCAACUUUCGAUGGUAGAGUAGUGGUCUACCAUGGUUUCAACGGGUAACGGGGAAUUAGGGUUCGAUUCCGGAGAGGGAGCCUGAGAAACGGCUACCACAUCCAAGGAAGGCAGCAGGCGCGCAAAUUACCCAAUCCCGACACGGGGAGGUAGUGACAAUAAAUACUGAUACAGGGCUCUUUUGGGUCUUGUAAUUGGAAUGAGUACAAUUUAAACCUCUUAACGAGGAACAAUUGGAGGGCAAGU
This 499-nucleotide ribosomal RNA is filed under the name fungal sp. TRN221. RNAcentral describes it as "SSU rRNA". It matches the Rfam family "Eukaryotic small subunit ribosomal RNA", at positions 57 to 560 of the family's 1831-position model. The record is from RNAcentral. Lineage: Eukaryota; Fungi.